CCUACGUGAGGCAGCAGUGGGGGAUCUUGCACAAUGGGGGAAACCCUGCUGCAGCGACGCCGCGUGUGGGAAGACGGUCUUCUGGAUUGUAAACCACUGUCCCCAGGGACGAAAUUGACGGUACCUGGGGAGGAAGCUCCGGCUAACUAGGUGCCAGCAGCCGCGGUAAUACGUAGGGAGCAAGCGUUGUCAGGAAUUACUGGGUGUAAAGGGAGCGUAGGCGGGGAUGCAAGUUGGGUGUAAAAACGAUCGGCUAAACCGUUAGUCGCACUCAAAACUGCAGCUCUUGAGUGAAGGAGAGGCAGGCGGAAUUCCUAGUGUAGCGGUGAAAUGCGUAGAUAUUAGGAGGAACACCAGUGGCGAAGGCGGCCUGCUGGGCUUUUACUGACGCUGAGGCUCGAAAGUGUGGGGAGCAAACAGGAUUAGAUACCCCUGUAGUC
This 440-nucleotide ribosomal RNA is filed under the name uncultured bacterium. Its description in RNAcentral is "partial 16S ribosomal RNA". It matches the Rfam family "Bacterial small subunit ribosomal RNA", at positions 338 to 795 of the family's 1533-position model. The record is from RNAcentral.